AGUUCUGAUUAAUUCAUUAUUUAUACUAUUAAUUUUGAAAAAAAAAAACUAAACUUAAAAAAAGGAACUUAUGUGUUCAACAAUUUCUUAAAUAAACUGACAAACAACUUCUUCCUUUAACCUUUAUACAAAAUAAAACGAUAUUACAGUCCAAUGUAUCUUAUUAUUUU
RNAcentral lists this small RNA (170 nucleotides) under Arabidopsis thaliana (thale cress). RNAcentral describes it as "ATSL291970". Lineage: Eukaryota; Viridiplantae; Streptophyta; Magnoliopsida; Brassicales; Brassicaceae. The record is from RNAcentral.